RNAcentral lists this ribosomal RNA (253 nucleotides) under uncultured bacterium. Its description in RNAcentral is "partial 16S ribosomal RNA". It matches the Rfam family "Bacterial small subunit ribosomal RNA", at positions 524 to 776 of the family's 1533-position model. The record is from RNAcentral.
UACGGGGGGAGCAAGCGUUGUUCGGAAUUACUGGGCGUAAAGGGCGCGUAGGCGGGCUGGCAAGUCGGUCGUGAAAUCCUUCGGCUCAACCGAAGAACGUCGAUCGAUACUGCUGUUCUUGAGGGUUGCAGAGGAGACUGGAAUUCCCGGUGUAGCGGUGAAAUGUGUAGAGAUCGGGAGGAACACCGGUGGCGAAGGCGGGUCUCUGGGCAAUUCCUGACGCUGAGGCGCGAAAGCGUGGGGAGCGAACAGG